GCCAUCCUUGGGAUACCACCCUUGUAGUACUGGGACUCUAACCAUAGGCCAUGAAUCUGGUCUUGGGACACUGUCAGGUGGGCAGUUUGACUGGGGCGGUCGCCUCCCAAAAGGUAACGGAGGCGCUCAAAGGUUCUCUCAGUACGGUCGGAAAUCGUACGUAGAGUGUAAAGGCAAAAGAGAGCUUGAUUGCAAGACAUACAGGUCGAGCAAGGAUGAAAAUCGGACUUAGUGAUCCGGUGGUUCUGCGUGGAAGGGCCAUCGCUCAACGGAUAAAAGCUACCCUGGGGAUAACAGGCUUAUCUCCCCCAAGAGUCCACAUCGACGGGGAGGUUUGGCACCUCGAUGUCGGCUCAUCACAUCCUGGGGCUGUAGUAGGUCCCAAGGGUUGGGCUGUUCGCCCAUUAAAGUGGUACGCGAGCUGGGUUCAGAACGUCG
RNAcentral lists this ribosomal RNA (438 nucleotides) under Clostridioides difficile. RNAcentral describes it as "bacterial LSU rRNA". It matches the Rfam family "Bacterial large subunit ribosomal RNA", at positions 2185 to 2621 of the family's 2925-position model. The record is from RNAcentral. Lineage: Bacteria; Bacillati; Bacillota; Clostridia; Peptostreptococcales; Peptostreptococcaceae.